CUGUCUCUAAGAUUUUUCUUGUAAUUUUUUCUUAGUCCCCAUUUUAAGUUUUCUCCUAAUGGCUUCAGGCGAUGUCGAGUUUAGGUGCUUCGUAGGCGGCCUGGCCUGGGCCACCACUGACAGCUCUCUCCAUGAGGCCUUCGGUGCUUACGGCGAUAUCCUUGAAUCGAAGGUCCGUUUGAACCAGAUCCGACCCGAUCCACGAUUCGGCUUGUUCUGAUCUGUGAUCUGUGUGCUCUGUGAUCUGUUUCUGUUACUCUGUUACUGUUCUCUGUUACUACUGUUACUCUAUUAUUACUAUGCCUAAAUCGGUACGUUCAUCUUCAUCUUUUUAUUAAGACGAAGGGCCCGAUCGGAUUUAUUAUUAUUUUUAUUGUUAUUAAGCUUGCAGAUCUGAGAUGAAUUUGCUAAACUAUUUUUUUUUUAUCGUUAAUUCAGAUAAUUAACGAUCGCGAGACUGGAAGAUCCAGAGGAUUUGGAUUCGUUACCUUCCGCGAUGAGAAGUCGAUGAGGGACGCGAUCGAAGGCAUGAACGGCCAGAAUCUCGACGGCCGUAACAUCACAGUCAACGAGGCCCAGUCCCGCGGAAGCGGUGGCGGUGGCGGUGGUGGUUACGGAAGCCGCGGCGGUGGCGGAUAUGGAGGUGGUGGACGCCGUGAAAGUGGUGGUGGUGGUGGAUACGGUGGGAGCCGCGGAUACGGAGGUGGCGGUGGUGGAGGAUAUGGUGGCCGCCGUGAAGGUGGUUACAGCCGUGAUGGUGGAUAUGGCGGUGAUGGUGGUUCCCGAUACUCAAGGAGCGGUGCUUCUGAUGGCGGCAGCUGGAGGAAUUAGUGUUGUUUAGGAUAAAUUAGGAGCUAUGUUAUGGUUUCGUGUUUUGAUAUUUUCCUUGGGUUAUGUUGUGUCGUUUUGAUCGGUUCCUGUUAUCCUGUGUUGUUUCGAUCUCCCUGUUUGGUUAAUUGUUUGAAAAAAAAAUGAAAUGAAUUACAGUUCUUUUCAAUUUCUCUUAGUGCCAUAUCAGAAUUUUGAGGAAGAAACAAGCUUUGACAAACGAAAGUAAACAUAUUCUUUUUAAUGCCCGUAACAUUAGUAUCUGGAUACUGUGAUCAAAAGAGCUUCCCAAUUCUACGCCCGUCAAGCAAGUUAAGCACGUUUAUGGCCAUUCUAAUAGAAAUUAACGCGUGAUGAUUGCUUGCUCAUUUCCCCGAUUCUACGCCCGUCAAGCAAGUCAAGCACAUUAAUGGCCAUUCUAAUAGAAACCACCGCGUGGUGAUUGCUCAUUUUCCCGAUUCUACGCACGUCAAGCAAGUUAAGCACGUUAAUGGCCAUUCUUGUUUGGCCUCGGCAGCCAAAGCAUCUUCAGAGCAAUAGUCCUUCGAAAGUCCAAACUUCCAACACCCAUCCCUACGUGUCGUACCCGUGGCCAUGGACGCCCACUUACGCUUUAGCUGGGCUGGUCUGUAGCGUGCGGCAAUUUAGUAACUGGUUCUUUUAUGGUCUCUGCUUUGGCACAAUCUAGGACACAUGUUAAACAAGAACACAGGCCAUGUACGCUAUGGCCCUCAAGUGUCCAGACGUAUAUUAAUGUUUUGAUUGAACAUUUUAUAAAUUUUAGAUAUUUAGUUAACAAUAAUGGGCUAGUUAUUCUCUCGAGUUUCACUUUGACAAUUGUAGACGCAAACUUUGUUCUUGUCAAAUGCCUCGUUCGCCAUCCUGGUCUCGGAACUAUACUGAUAAUCGUUGAUGGGCAUGGGGUAUGCACCAUUUUGAUUCAUUCACACAAUUUAACUGUGAUGGGUUUUCUACGUUACGUCCAAAGAAAAUUGAUGAUGGUUCAAAUCCAUUUCUUAUAUAAGGACGUUCGGACUUGAUCUGUAUACUAAUAGUCCAUAUAUAAUGCAUGUACCGUGCAGAAGCCCCAGUCCUUGCAGGCAUUUCCGAGGGCCAGAGUGAAUUUGGAACGUUGAUAAGGGUCAGAAGAGUUGAGCAGAGAAAAGUCAUUGAUUGGGAUUGAUUUUUAAUAAGAACAUCUACUCAUCAAGAACUUGCAUAAAAAAUUUUGGUUCCAAGUCUGGGGUAGUUACUACAAAAAUAACUUCAUGUUCUAAUAACUUUUUUAUAGAUCACGUCUUUUUGGAACUUGCCUCUAAAUAUUAAUCAUUAUUUCUAUAUUAAGAUUAAAUAAAUUUAUUUUCUUGAAGUUAUUUAGGAUAAUAAUUUAUUGUUUAAACUUUUAAAAAAAUGACUUUAUAUAUUCUCAACACUAUAUAAAUGAUAAAUAUUAGUACUGGUUUUUUUAAAAUUAUGUUUCUCUUUUAUCAAUGUCUAUAUAUUAGUUUUGAUAGGUUUCAUUAAUUAGUUAUCGAUGUAACACAUACUUUAGGUUUAUAUCGUUUGCACUUAGGACAAUUAAGCCAAAAUAAUAUUUUUUGUAAAUAUAUCUCUAUUAAAUUAUAACCUCCUUAUAAUAAUAAAAAUUAGUUUGUUUUUAACAAUGCGAUUAUAGAGAAUUUUUAGUAUAUUGACUAAAUUAUUCAAGAAUUUUUUUUAGGACCUUGAGUCUCUUCUUGCCUAAUUCUUAAGAUUUUAAGUACCUUAAUUAAUCAUAAUUGUCGUUUGAGUUAGAAAAUGUUCAGAUUUAUUAUUAGUAUUAUUAUUAUUAUUUUGUUUUUAAAUGAUCAUUUACUUUUAUGGGUUCCCAAAUUUUUCUCAAAUAGAUUUUUUGAAGUUUACCUGUAGCCUACGUUAUAGGUCCUUGAAGACUCAAAAGUGUUGCGUGAAAACACAAGAACAAAAACAGAAGCAUAGCUUCCUCUUAUGUUUGGUUUUUAUUUUCUAUUUUUAUUCAUCCUUUUUGCUUCUUUUUUAUGACUAGUACAAUUAUUUUUUCUCAAUAGAGAAUGAAUGUAAUGGUGCUGUACUUGCUCAUAAAUUAUAAAUUUUGUAAUCAUUUCAUUCCACUCCAGUAGUCCUUAAAGAAUUUUGGAAGUUGCUUGAUUAGUAUUAAAAAUUGUUUGAUUAUCAAGCGAUAAAAAUAUUACUUUUAUGUCUAUAUUAUAAUUUAUAUUUUUGUUUAUGCAAUAUAUUAGGAUUAUUAAUUAUGUCUUAAUUAUAUUUAAUUUUGUGUGUUUAUUAGGUAAAAUAUUAAUUUCACAUAAUUCGAGGCUCCAAACAGAUAAACGAAUAUCAAAUUUAGAUUUCGGAGGUCUAAAAACCUUAAGAUGAGUCAAGACCGGCUUAAAUUUGAGCUUGUACAAAAAGUUGAAUUUUUCUGUUGACCAAGCACUGAUUAGAUGAUAAAAUGAGCUUACAAUAGAUAUGAGUGUAUUGGAUAACUGUCAAUUUUGACUAAAUCUCAACCCUUCAUGAUUCAAUUACCACAAUCGUGCCACGUGGCAAUGGUUGGUGAAGCAAGUUGUAGGAUCCAAACCUUUGUAUUCGGGUCGACCCGAUCCACCCAUUAACCCACCAAAUCUCAACUGUUCUUUGACCAAAUCGGAUGCUUCACAAGAUGCCACAUGUAAUGUUGACUUUUGAAGUUUGACCAGCCGUUGGAUCUUGAUCGAAUGGUUGUGUAGACCGCAUGCAUAAAGUUUAUGAUGGACGGCAAUACACUGGAUUAUGAAUUUAUUUUUCUAUAAAUAGAGUCAUUUUGAGCAUCUCUUUUCUUCUCAAUUUCUCUCAAUUUUCCUGUAAUCUUAUUUUUCAAGUGUGUUUUAAUAUUUUGCAUAAUUAUUUUUAUAAAUAAAUUUAUUUUUAUUUUUAUUUUUAGUUGUUUUUAUUACUUUUAAUAAUGAGUAAUUUAAUUUUAAUAAUUAUUUUUAUUUCAAUUAUGCUUAGCUAAAUAAUAAUAGUUAGGGUAAGGUGAAACUCUUAGGAAAUAAAUAUGAUUUAAUCAAAUUCUAUUUUUAUUUAUAUAAAUUCAAUUAUUUUCUAUUUAAUUGUAUACAUAUUUUAUAUUUUGAAAUUUUGAUUUAUUGUAAACAAACAAGAGAGUUUGGCACAAUAAAUUCUUAAUAUUUUAAUAUAAGGUAUGGUAAAAUGGUAUUUUGACUUAUUGUAAACAAAUCAAAUUUUGGCACAAUAAAUACUUAAUCCAUUAUAAAAUUAAUGAGAAAAUAAUAAUAAUUUAUAUAAUUAAUCUUUUGGGCAAUAAAAAAAAAGGUAAAAGGAAUUUAUUAAAUUUUAUUUAUUACUAAGAGUGGAUCCAUAACCCUAACUAAUUUAAUUUCAUAGUUUCAUUUAAAUUAAGUUAUUUACAUUCAAAUUUUAUUUUCAUUUUUAGAUAAAAUAAAAUAAACAAAUUAAAUCUUUUUUUUGUGGAUCGACUUCGGACUCACCAAGCUAUAAUAUAACAAGACAUUUUUAUACUUGGGAGUUAGAAAUUACUUUUAAGUUGUGUUAUUGCUCACUUUUAGUUAAUUUGGUUUCGAGUUGCGGAUUUCAAACACUAAUUGUGUGGUGUAGCUCUAAUUCUGUUGAUGCAUAUAUCUGGUUGGUAGAGUUGCGACCAGGUGUCAACGCCAACAAUUAAAUUUGUUUGUUGGGGUGACGGCUCAACAUUACAACUUUUCCACUUGAGCAGUUAGCUUUGACCACGAACUUGCUGCACCAGAUCACUUGUGAUCACAAUAUUCAAUUAGAGGGCCGCUUGAUGUUUUUCUGACGAAAACCCUCCAACGCUCAAGUUAGUCAUUGGGAUUUUUUUGAAAAACCUUGUGCCACAAUUUCAAAAUGAAAGAAAGAUAGAGGAGAGCGAAUUAUCGAUAGGGAAGAAAAGUAUAUAAGAAUCUACUGAAAAGUUCUCUAACCCCUUUUACUUCCAUUCCCUAUAGCUUUCAUAUCCGACCGGAAUUAUCGGCCUCCUUUCCCCAACAUUUGUUACUGGGUCGGUUGCAUAACCGUGGGUGAGUGGGCAGCGUAACUGCUAUUAAAUGGACUUCAUGCUCAAAUUCUUUGGAGGAAACCCAUGGCUUGACCUUUGACCAAGUUUUCAAUCUGGCUUGAUUCUAGUCUCUCCUCUCGUGUCCCCAUGAUACUCCCACGAGGUAGUCAACAAUACUAGUCGCAUCCUCGCCCUUCCAAAGUCAGAGAAAAUGCUCUACAUCUUUGCACCUGUGUAAAGCCUUGUACCCUUAUUGAAACGCUCAAUGUGUACUAGAGGGUCGCUUUUCCUAGAGUAUUUGAGAUUGGAAAAAUGGAAAUCCCUAGGUAUUGUGGUGUUGAUAAUUUCUAAAGAAAAUGGGGACUCGUUAUCCAACAUGAUUCUCCAAUUGGGAAGCUUUUCUCGUCUUUGCAUCUCGUCAAUGAUCUUAGCCAAUCUUCUCACCUCGCCUUCUAAUUCCACCGCUCGACCAUGAUUGUAGGCAGCGACCUAUUCGCACUCCUGUUUGAUAUCGUGGAGAUGCUUCCCCAACUCUCUCUUUUCAAUGUUCACUUCUAUUUUUGUAUUCCCCAUAUUUUGACUGCCUCAAAUUGAUUUCCUACCCCAUGGUUUUACUCACCACAAAAUUGACUCCCAGCACCAGGAUUUAGCUCACUGUGGAACUGGCUCCUUAUUCAUGAAUCCCACUCACCUGGAUCUGCUCUAUUACUGGAUGUUAGGACAUCCUGAUUAUUCCUCAAACCUCCAGCAUCAAACCUUCGUUGCACAUCCCUCAACUCAUGUAAAACAGCUGUGAGGGUCUCCAUUCGCUUAUCCGUUCAUGCAUUGCUCUUUCCCUUACUUCAUUCACUAUUUCCCGCAAGGUGAUUAACUCAUUGAUUCUAAACUUGGCCCCUUGGGCAUCAUUUCCUCUUGUAUCCAUGCUCAUUAUCCUUUCUUUUUCUUAAUUGCUUCAUUAGUUAUAGCUUUUUGUUUCGUCACCACAGACGGCGGUAAAAUAUUAAUGCAGAUAUAUGAUCGGUAGAGUUGCAACUAGAUGUCCACACUAACACUUAAAUUUGUUUGUUAAGGUAACGGCUCAGCACUGCAGCUUUUCUACUCGAACAACUAGCUUCGACCACAAACUUGUUAUACCAAAUCACCUGAGCUCACAAUAUUUAGUUAGAGAGGUCUCGAAUGUUUUUCCAAUGAAAAUCCUCUGAUGGUCAAGUCAGUGAUCAGGCCUUUUUUGGAAAAACUUAUGCCACAAUUCAGGAUAGAAAGCUUAAUUUUAGAAAUAAAGAAAGAUAAAAGAGAGAGAAUUAUCUAUAGAGAAAAAGAUAUGAGGAUCUAGUGAAAAGUUGUCAAACACUUUUUAAUUCCAUUCCCUGAAGCUUUUAUAUCCGACCAGAAUUAUCGGUCUCCUCUCCCCUACAAUUGUUAUUGGGUCGGUUAUAUAGCCUUGGGUGAAUGGGCAUCGUAAUUUGUUGUUGAGUAGGCUUCACAUUCGAAUUUUUUAAAGAAAACCCAUGGGUUGACCUUUGACGAAGUUAUUCGAUCUCUCUUGAUUCUAGUCUCUCCCUGGUCUCUCCUCGCGCGUCCUCAAGUCAACUUUACUCACGCGACCAACCACACAACUCGUCGGGGAUAAUUUUCCUCGAGGAGUCAUUUUAAGCUGAGGGGAGCAUGUUAUGCUCAUGUGUGCUUGGUCACGAUGCUUUUCACCCCAAACAGAUUCAAACACUAAUUUGUUGUUGGAUUAACGUCUUUAUGACAGUGUAUUGGUGUCGAGGAGCUUGAAUAGCCAUCCAAAUCCAAAAAGGUUCGAGUAUGACUAGGAACUAACAAGAUUUGGAGAAGACAAGGGAAAUGAAAUGACAAAACUAACUUGACUCCAUUCUACAAGCUAUUUGCAUUAGUAGAUUCUAUGAUGUAUUGACAUUGCUACUAUGUGAGAUGACUGACUCUUUUGGCCAAAACCAUAUUAGCAACGGCUGAUGCAACUUCUAAGGUAAUUAUGAAUGCUAUUGAAGUUUCAACUUAAAGGAAUAAUUUUGAGUUUUAUCAUUUAGUUGAAUAUAAGUAAUAUCCUUUGUAUUGAAUAUAAGUAAUUUUCUAUGACUAUAUGUAAGUCCAAGUUAACAAUUAAGUUAAUCGUUAAGAAAAAUUUAUUAUUAUUGUUGUUGUUAUUGUUAAGUAUUAAAAAGAAAUUUUAGUAAAGUAGGGUUUAAGUUAGUAAUUAGUAUUUCAUUUUCUUAAUAUUAUUAUUUUAUUGUUAUUGAAUAUGGACUUGAGUUUUGAAUUUUUUAUUUUAUUGAAUUUGAUUAAAAGCAGAUAAACCUGAAAAAGUACAUAAACUUGAAAUAAUCACACUAACAACUUGGCAUGCCCUCUUAAAAAAAAGGUUUAUCAUGCUUUUUUUCUCAGGCACGGCAUGACAUGGCCCACAGCACAGCACGUGUGCUAGGUUGGGCCUAAGUAAAAAAAAAAAAAAAAGACACGAUACAGGACAGCAUGGCACGACCACGAGCACACAUGAGCCUUCCUUUGAUGAGUUGGGUCGGCACGGCACGGCCCAUUGGUCAUCUCUACUUUGGACAUGAUAUCUCGGGCUUAAGUUCACAUCUUUAUAAACACUAAAAAGUUCCAAUGACAAAACAAUGCCUUGUGUUUGUUUUGCAUGUUUUUUAUGCUUUAAUGAUAACAACCAUUGGCAUAUCUCAAUUCAGCUCAUUUGGUUCUAAUUCGACCAAAGAGAAGAAUGUUGUUGCUUCAAGUUUCGCAAUCUAGACUGCAAGUCGAAGAUAGGCGCCAAUGAUGAAUUCAGGACAAAGUUGGACAAUGUUAAAGGAGAAAUAGAGCUUCAUCAUGUAAGUUUUAAAUAUCCAUGAGGGUCAGAUAUUCACAUUUUCCAAUAGAUAGCCUGAAAAUUCUUACUGCCAAUGUGACUACUACUAAACUCCAUUCUUUGAAGCAGUUGAGACAAACAAAAAUCACACCAUAUGAUUAGGGUCUAAAUUAUAUUAUCCUUCUGUUAGUUUUUUUCCUUUUCUCCUUUUAGAUCGUUACUCUAAUUGGAGAAAGUGGGAGUGGGAAAUCAACAAUAAUAUCAUUGUUGCAAAGAUUCUAUGUUCCUGAUUCAGGAUGCAUUAUGGUGGAUGGAGUGGAAAUUCAAAAGCUCCUACUAAAAUGGUGAAGGCAGUAGAUAGGCUAGCGAGCCAAGAACCUGUUAUGUUCAAUGACACAAUCCGCAGCAACAUUGCUUAUGGAAUGGGAGGGAAUGCAACUGAACCUCAAAUUCUAUCCACAUCAAAGCUGAGCUGCCAACUUCACAAGUUCAUUAGUAGUCUACAACAGGUUAGAUUAUUACAUAAGUCACGAUCCUAUAUACUUUCAUUGUACAAGUAAAUAUGUCACUUCAAUAUAAUGUAAUGUGGAGUGUGGGGGUACGAGACAAUGGUUGGAGAGCAAGGACUUUAAUUGUCAGGUGGUCAAAAGCAACGGGUAGCCAUUGCACGUGCCAUAGUUACAAAUCCAAAGAUAUUAGUUUCAGACGAAGCUACCAGUGCACUUGAUGCUGAAUCGAAACCUGUAGUUCAAGAUGUAUUAGAAAGCGUAAUAAAGAACCAAGCAAUAAUUGUGGUGGCCCAUUGUUUUGCGAUUACAGUGGAGAAAGGAAAUCAUGAGAUUUUAAUUGACAUCCCAUAUGAGUUUUAUGCCUACCUAGUAGCACUUCACUCUAGUGCUUCAACUUGCUGAGUUGUAUGUGGAUAGUAAGUUUGGUACAUUUGUGAGUGAUUUUCUCUUUGGUGAGUGAGAUGAGAAACUUGUAGGGGAGAAAUAGAUAUGGCCAAUGGGCUAGACGGCACGUGGCACGGGACGACACGAGCACGUUUCGGUGAGGCACGCGGCACGGCACGGCGUCCAUGUGGGUUGGGUCGGGCUUAGAAUUUUAGGCAAGCGGGCUUUAAAAGCACAGCACGAUUAGAGAUGAGCUAAGUACAGCACGAUUAGAGAUGGGCUAAGCACGACACGAUAAAAAAGCCCACAAUAAGCACGUUUUAUUUUUUAAUGAAAGUAAACUUAAAAUUUUAUGAUUUUACAAAUAACUUGAAAUUGAAUUUUUUAAAUUCAUUUAAUUCUUAGUUUAAAAAAAAUACUAUAAUUGAUUUAUAUUUAUAAUUUAUUAAAUAAAUAAUUGAUAUCAUGAUUUUAAUGAAUAAAAAAUUAUAAAUAUCAUGAUUUUAUUAAUAUGCAUUAAUAUUAUUGUGAACUAUGAUCUAUGACUCUAUGUAAGUCCAAGUUAACAAUUAAAUUAAUCUUUAAGAAAAAUUUAUUAUUAUUAUUAUUGGUGUUGUUGUUAAGCAUUAAAACAUAUUCUAACACUAUAAGGUCAAACUUAGUAAUGAAUAUUACAUUCUCUUACUAUUAUUAGUUUUAAAAUUUUGAUUCUAUUAAAUUUGAAUAAAGACAUAAAUUUAAAAAAAGUACAUAGACUUGAAAAAAAGUACGUCAAUAGCUUGAUAUGCACUCUUAAAAAAUAAAAAAAUAAAUAAAUAUAUUUAUUGGACUUUUUUUCUUAGGCAAGGCACGGCACGACCCACGGCACGUGUGCCGGGCCGAGCCUAAGCAAAAAAAAAAAAAAAGGCCCGGCACGGNNNNNNNNNNNNNNNNNNNNNNNNNNNNNNNNNNNNNNNNNNNNNNNNNNNNNNNNNNNNNNNNNNNNNNNNNNNNNNNNNNNNNNNNNNNNNNNNNNNNNNNNNNNNNNNNNNNNNNNNNNNNNNNNNNNNNNNNNNNNNNNNNAAAAAAAAAAAAAAAGGCCCGGCACGGUGCGGAUACGAGCACGCAUGGGCCUCACUUUGAUGCCGGCGCCCAUUGGCCAUCUCUAGGGAGAAAUUUGUUCAUCGAAACAAGAUCUAGAACCUUUGAGGAAUCAUCAUCAUGUAAUAAACAUUUCUUCUUCGUGAUUUUUUUGCUUUGUAGGGUGCUGAAGUGAGAGCUACUUAAUUUGCAAUCAGAUGAAUUUUUUGUUACAUUCAUGGGCCCAAAAAUCUUUCAUGGCCAUUUUUCUCAAACCAACAGAGCUUUUGGGCCACACUGAAACUGGAUUUACGGAUAAGGGAUAUGUAUCUCAAUGUUAUCGAAUAAUUGAAUUGAUAAUUUUACUUAUUUUUUUAGCAUUUUAUUAAAAUAAUUAAAAAUAAAAGUUUGAAAAAAUAAAAGUGCUUCUUUGACAAGAAAAGCAUAUCAAACACUUUUGAGUCGAGAUUAAUGCUAUUUAUCUUUCCAUAGAUAGAUUAUAAUUGUACAAAUUAGCUAAGCAUUAUAAAAUUAUUACUAUGCUAUGGCAUGUUUCAAAAGACUAUAUAUAUAUAUGUUCAAAGUCAAAAUGAUUCUAUCCUAUAAUAUGAUUAUAACUAAAUUGUUUACUGAGUCAAACAACAAUUGUCAACUAGAUUAUUUAUUUUGGUUCAAAGAAGUGGUGGCAUGUCACUACAAACUUCUAACAAUAUUGUCAAAUAAAUGCAAACUAAAGCAACUCUUUUCAAGAUAUCAGAAUAUCGAGUUAUCAACCCUUCAACAUCAUGAUUUUUAAUAAAUCAAUUUGGACCAUUCAAACAUGAUGAAGUUUUGCCUUGCAAGGAAUCCUCAGUUUACAUAAAUAUUGAAGGAAAUUUUGAAAUUUUUAUGCUGUGUGGCUUGACCAUGAAUAAAUAAUGUACCAUUUUCUCUGUUAGAUCGAAUAAGUUUAGGGUACAAAUUAGUUUAAUAAUUCAAUGAUUUGUUACUAUCCACGGUCUUCCAAUUUUGUACAUCUUUUAUGACAUCAAAUUAAUUAAUUUUGUGCUAAUUUUGAAUCAUUCAUUCAGAAUGUCAAUUAUUGUCAAUAACUCUUUAGUUGAGUAGAUGGGCGCUACCUCACUGUAUUCUUUAAGUUGAGGGUUUGAGUUUCUUUGUAAAUAUUAGAGCAUAUUUUAUUCAUUCUUUUCUUUGGUGCAUCAAAGUAGGUCCAGCAAACAUAUUGAGCUAUAUAUCAAAAUAUUCUGAUAGACAUACGAAAAUAUUUUAUAAUUACACAAAGUCAUAAUUUUUAGAUUAAUAAUAAACAUCUCAAAAUUUUAUUCUUAAUUUCAUCUUCGAUGAUGUAAUAUAUAUACUUCUCAAAUGGUUGAUAAUCAUAAUUUUUAGAUUAAUGAUGAUAUCCCAAAAUUUUAUUCCUAAUUUCAUCUCAGACAUGUGAUAUAUACACUCAUCAAAUGAUUGAUAAUUUUUCACUAGUUAAUUGCAGGUAAAUUAAUAACAUUAUCUCACCCCUCCAAUUGAUAAAUACUAAAUCAUUUGGAAUAAAAUUUUAACAAAUCUAAAACUACUCUAAUUGUUAACUUGGUAACUAACUUUGAGAUAUGAUUAAUUUGAUGACUUAGUCCCAAUACCAUUAAAGAACAAAUAAAUAAAAAGAACCAAUGAUUGGGAAACAAGUUAUAUCAAAAUUUAUUUUCACUAGCAUGAGAAUAAUCACCAACAAUCAAGAAAAUGACCUUCCUUAUAAAGUCAUUAAAAGUGGUAUCCAACAAACACCUAUACAAACGUGUGAAAUGAUUUGUAGUUUCAUUCUACUUGCUCGAACUUAGCACCCAUCAUUUCUAGUUCUACCCUUUCGAUUUCAUCAUUAGAUGUUGGGUUAUUUAUGCUUCAAGUAAAAAGAAUCUUAAGCAAUAAUUUAGUGUAACUUGUAGGCCUACCUUGAUAAUUAUUCCUUUUAUAAAGUUAUUGCUUGAUGCUGCUGAUGUAAUGCUUGCUAUAUACAUUAAGUGUCUCCUCACCACUCAAGAUUUGAUAGUGGAAGCAUUCAUAUUAUUGAUGUUUCUAGACAACGUGUAUGCACUUUUGGGCAUCUUUUGAAUUGGAUGGUUGAUAUCAUUUUAUUUAUGUUAUGUUUACUUCGGAAUUCGGAAUAGGAAUGGUUAAUGAUGUUUAUUUUGCUAAAAUAGAAGUAAAAAUAAGAAUGAAAUAAAUGAGACCCACAUAUUUUCGGAAUCAAUGAAUAAUAACUUGAUUUUCAUGAGAGGGAUAGGAAAUCAAGUUCUCAUUCCUUGAACUUCCCAUUUUACCCCACUCAAAUUUUAUAAUUUCACUUUUGUCAUAUAAUUAUAUUAUGUUAUUGUAUUAUUGUUAUCACUAUUCUUAUUUAUGUAAUUAUUUUUGUUAUUAAUAAUAAUAAUUAAUGAUGAUGAUGACGACGACGAUAAUAAUUUUAACAAUAAUAAUAGUAUUAAUUAAUGAUAAUUAAAUUAAUAAUUAUAACAGUAAUAAUAUUAUUAUUAUUAUAAAAUUUUAUUAUUAUUACUACUACUGUUGUUGCUACUGCUACACGACUAUUAUGAUCAUCAUUAUCAAUAUCAUUAUUAUUAUUAUUAUUAUUAUUAUUAUUAUUAUUAUUAUUAUUAUUAUUAUUAUUAUUAUUAUUAUUAUUAUUAUUAUUAUUAUUAUUAUUAUUAUUAUUAUUAUUAUUAUUAUUAUUAUUAUUAUUAUUAUUAUUAUUAUUAUUAUUAUUAUUAUUAUUAUUAUUAUUAUUAUUAUUAUUAUUAUUAUUAUUAUUAUUAUUAUUAUUAAUAAUUAUUUUGAAUAAUAAUAAUCACAAUUAUUAUAAUAAAUAAUAACAAUUAUUAUUAUUAUUAUCAACUAAGGUCAUUUUAGUAACUUAUAACAAUUCAUUAUGAUUCUAAAAUAAAGUAAAUACAUCAAUGGCAAUAUAAUUCAUUCCACUUCUGAUUCAUAUAGCUAAAGUAAACAAUUUAUUUUGAUCUCAUUCCCUAUUCUUAUUUCAGUUCACUCUGAUUUUAACUCAUUUCGAUUAUCAUUUAGUAAACACACCAUCAAUUUUUGCAAUAGAUAUUUUAACAUGCCUAAUCUUUAUGUACCCUUUAGAAUACGAAUUUAAAGCUAAAAAAAUACUUCUAAUCAUAAUAUUAUAAUUACAUAAUAUCAUUUAAUUAAUUUUAAAUUUUUAUUUUAAAACGUGUGAACGUCGUAUUAAAUAAUAACUAUCCAUCGAAAUAAUAUUUAGGGAAAAUGUAUCCGGUUAGACAUUCAAUAUGUUUAUUAUUGGGCCGCACCAAUUUAAAGCAAAAACAUCAUGAAUUAUUUGAACUUUAGGUGAGUACUUGAAAAAGGUGUCUAAAUUAUAAAGAAUUAAUCAGCCUCCCACCUAGAUUCCCAAAUAAAUAAAUAAUAAUAAUAAAUAAAUAAAUAAAAUUCAACCUCCCACCCAACACACGAGCACACAAUCUCGUGCAUGCAUGUUGCCUGCGUGCAAGCCACCACUUCAAGCAGUAUUUUAACAAUUGAAACAUGACAACUUAGAUUUUGUACCUAAUUAUUCUUCUCAAUAACUUUCUUUUUUCUAAUUUUUUAUUAUCAAUUUUUGUUGUAUGUAAAUGCAAUCACCAAAAAGUUUAAAGCAAUAAUAAAGUGAAACGGUUGUUCUAAAAUGUAAAGAAAUUUGGAUUUUUCUUCAAAGAUAGAAGCUAAUUAAUUAAUUAAUUAAUUACACGAUCAACUUAAUUAAUUUUUUUUUUUACGUACAUAGUCUAGAGUUUAAAGUAAAGGUAUUUACAUAGGAGAAAUUUUAGAAUAUAUCAGAAGUAUCGCGUAAGUCAUACAUAAAUAAAUAAUAUUAUGUCAUACGUUUAUUUAUUUUUUAAAAAAAUCAACAUAUAAGUAAUAGUUAUAUUAAAUUUAACUACACAUGUUAUACAGACAAAUUUAAUUGAAUUACAUCUAAUGUAACAUAAAUUUUCUCCCUUAUAUAGACUAUAUAGUAGAGGGAGUUUAUUAGUUUGAUGCCAAUGAUUAAUUAACCAGGUGCCAAUCAUUUGUGGACAUGCUUCAAUUAUACUAUAAUAUCAUCAUAAUCAUGGAAACUAACAAUGCUUGAACCCAACCUUACCUGUCAGGGCCAACAGGCAAAGCAAAUAAUGAAUUUGGUCCGUAAUAAUUGAGUGUGAACUGGAUUAAAGGAUUUUCAAAUUCAAUCGUUCAGAUUCUUAAAAUUAUUGUUAAAAACAAUUAAGUGUUAAUUUGAUCUGUAAGGACUAAAGAAAGAAGCAAAUAAUUAAUUCAGUCACUUGGGUCAAUGAUAGUACCAAAUGUUGGAUGUAUAGAGACUGAUUAAUCAUAAUCAUAGUCGUAUAAUAUAAUCUCUUUUAUUCAUCAUACUAUCAUUAACUGAUUGUCUUAUGUGUUUUACGUUUUGUUUAGCUGCAAACACAUAAUUUGAGCUGAUGUAAAAAUAAGCUAUAAUUAUAAAAUAAAAAUUAAUAGAGGGUAAUAAAUAUAAUUUGAUAAAAACAAUAAAAGUGUUAUAUAUUUUUUAUCAUAUAAGCAGUGAAUCAAAUUAGAUCAGUUUUCAAUCCACAACAACUUAUAUUUACUAAAUACUUUAAUCAUAAAACUAUUAAGUUACAAUUUCUCAAUUUUAAUACUAAACGGGACUUCAAAUUUCUUUGGAGACUUUAGCAUAUUCAGGAUAUUGGAGAUAUUGAGUGGAGACAGCUGGGACCAUACUUAGUUUCUUUCUCUUCUUUAGAUUUUUUAGAUAGUUGGGACCAUACUUAGUUUCUUUGGCAUCUUUAGAUUUCUUAGAUUACUUAACUGACAAUGUAAGAUCCAAUUUGGCAAUACAUAUAUUUUCUUUCUUUCAAGAAAGGAAAAUACAUAGGCAAAAAUAAAAAAUCAAGAGAAAUUCCUGAAAUAAAAACACUUGAAGUGGUAGCAUUUACCAAGAUUUGGAUUGAAAAUCAUUUUGAAAGGACAUACGAACGAACUCAUUGGAGCACAUAAUAAUCGUCCUAUGUGGGAGCAAAUAUCGCCAAAUAUUGGGGGCGUAAAUUUCGAGCAAGAGUUAUCAUUAGUUUGAUGCGGAGUAUAACUAUGAUUACGAUCCUCUCUAAUAUGAACUCUUCUUAAUCUUUUAUUGUGUCACGUGUUUUAUAGUAUUAGUGUAUUAUUAUAAUUUAAUUAUUUUUAUUUAGUAAUUUAUUAACUAUCAAUCAAUCACUUGAGUGAAUUUUAAUUAGCAGAAAGUCACAUAACCAGAAGAUUUUAAUCCUAACCUAUAAAAGUUCAAUAUUGAUCUGAUUUUUGAAUUAAUUUUUCAGAAAUGUGUGAUUUAUAGUAAUUAUUUAUUCAAUAUUUCGAUAAGAAUACAUAAAUUAAUUAAUUUACAACCGCACAUGUUAUUAUAAAUGUAUGCACGACAAAAGAUUAUAAAAAUAAAAUAUAAGAACAAAGGACGAUUAACAACACUAGAGGCAAAUUCAUCAAUAGGCUUUGAAUAUUUUAAAUGUGCAUAGGUGUCAAUUUCAAAUAGCAAACAAUUGAAAAGAAAAUUACAAUUGUUGUUUUAUGUUCAUUAUGGUAAAAGAUCUUCUUAUUAUAUCUUAAAAAAUUAACGUUAUAUUUUUAUAAAUUUAUAUCUUAAUUUAAGAUAUUCUUAAAUAUAAAAUUUAGAACAUGUAAUAAAUAACUUACAAAAUGUCAUUAAACAAAAAAAAAAAAGGAGGAACGAUAAUAUGAAAAAGUAUUCUGACCCAGCAACUGAAAAUAUCCACAAAUUAAAAGUCGUGUGGAUGAUGGCAGGGAGAAGUGGAACGGCAGCCGACAAUUUGAGGGAGAAGGCAAGCGGCACACAUAACCUAAGCAUCAAAGUGGUGGUUGACUGACUUUAUUUUUUCUUAUUAUUUACGCGCAAUUUUGACGCCCAAUUGGAGGCUGGAGCUGACUCAGUCCACAUACAUCGAAGAAGGAAGAAAAAAAAAAGUUGACUGUAUAAUCUAACUAAAUAAAAAAAUAUUUAUAUAUAUACUCUCAUAAUCUCUUUUUUUUUUUUUCAUGAAUUUAUGAAUAGUAACAUUGUAAUAUGUCAAACCCAUAUUUUAAAAUGCGUAUGUUUAUACAACAUUUUAUACAUAUAUAAAUGUGGCAUUUUUUAAUUACUGAUGGUUAAUAGUCAAUAAAAAUAAAAAAAAAGAUUUAACUAUUUAACGACGCUCAAAUUUUAAGAUAUGAUACUUUUAAAAUACGGCAAUCACAGACCCUUAUAAUGUCUACCAUUUAAUUCUUUAUUUCCUUUUUUUAUUAUUAUUAUUAUUAUUAUUGAAGCUAACAAGUAGAACAAUGGAGGGUGCAUGUGUCCCCCCUACUAUUGAUGAUACAAAAUGAAUUUACGUGACACGAAAUGAAAAGGAGAUCCACUCUCCCUGACAAAAAGGGUAAACUAAAGUGCGUUGACCAUUAUUAUGAGUGUUUGACCCUCCAGUCCUGUCCUAUAUAUCCCACUUUUGUUUAUUUUUUAUUUUUUGUAACGGCAUGUAAUUAAGUCGAAUCCAAGAAACGAUAAAAUAGAAUUCAAUAACUCUAAUAAUCUUUCUUAAUUAUACGCUGUUCUUGAAAAUGGGAUUAUCAACAAUGAGCGCAUCCACACAUGCAUUGCAAGUUAAAGAAGUAGGGCUCGUAUGCUGGUUCAAAAUUAGGCAGCUGAAAAGGAGGUUGAUUGGGUUACGUGAGGAAAAUAU
This 16437-nucleotide long non-coding RNA is filed under the name Citrus sinensis (sweet orange). RNAcentral's name for it is "long non-coding RNA (CSIN_LNC003356)". The record is from RNAcentral. Lineage: Eukaryota; Viridiplantae; Streptophyta; Magnoliopsida; Sapindales; Rutaceae.